Molecule: ribosomal RNA, 393 nt
Filed under: Triticum aestivum (bread wheat)
Lineage: Eukaryota; Viridiplantae; Streptophyta; Magnoliopsida; Poales; Poaceae
Description: partial small subunit ribosomal RNA
Source: RNAcentral
AUGGAAACAUGGACCACUCUCUCCGUACAGAAGAGAAUACUGCAGCCCUCACGGCAGAAGUACAAUGCGGCCUCCUCCGGCAAACCACCAAUCCGGCGACGACAACCUCAAGCACCGUCAAGCGAGUUCGGAGCACCCCGCAAAAGGACCACCAGGCACGCCAAGAGCACGACUAGCAGUCCGGCCUCCGCUCAAAUCCCAUCAAAGAAGCAUUCGUGCCACGCGUACACAAUUACGCACUUAAAAUACCAUGGGCACAGGCGGAGGCGCAGCAGUGGCUCAGUCAACAGUGCGGUAUCACCGCCACAUACCUACAUAACCAUUCCUUUCAUCUUUCAGGACAUUGCUUUACUGCAGCCUCUCCAGAAGAGCUGGAUUGUCGGACUUACAUAG